AUUGAACGCUGGCGGCAUGCUUUACACAUGCAAGUCGAACGGUAACAGGCCUUCGGGUGCUGACGAGUGGCGAACGGGUGAGUAAUGCAUCGGAACGUGCCCAAUCGUGGGGGAUAACGUAGCGAAAGUUACGCUAAUACCGCAUAAGCCCUGAGGGGGAAAGUGGGGGACCGCAAGGCCUCACGCGAAUGGAGCGGCCGAUGUCAGAUUAGCUAGUUGGUGGGGUAAAGGCCCACCAAGGCGACGAUCUGUAGCGGGUCUGAGAGGAUGAUCCGCCACACUGGGACUGAGACACGGUCCAGACUCCUACGGGAGGCAGCAGUGGGGAAUUUUGGACAAUGGGCGAAAGCCUGAU
This 355-nucleotide ribosomal RNA is filed under the name uncultured bacterium. RNAcentral describes it as "bacterial SSU rRNA". It matches the Rfam family "Bacterial small subunit ribosomal RNA", at positions 30 to 387 of the family's 1533-position model. The record is from RNAcentral.